This 755-nucleotide long non-coding RNA is filed under the name Homo sapiens (human). Its description in RNAcentral is "HSALNT0375685". The record is from RNAcentral. Lineage: Eukaryota; Metazoa; Chordata; Mammalia; Primates; Hominidae.
AUACAGAUGCGGCGCCCCUCCCGGACCGGGCCCGCAGCGCCCGGCAGGGCACUCGGGCGGGAGGACGUCCAGGCCACGGCGCCAGGCCAUUUCCGAAGAGCUGGCGGGGCGGGUGCACCCGGGAGCGCGAAGCUGCCAGUCCCCGCCCGCAGCGGAAAACGGGCGAGCGCGCGGUGAGGUGGGGAAUUCGGAGCCCACUGCGGAGAGACCCGGCUCCGGGCUCCCGGUUCCCGGCUGGCUUUUGGGACUGGUGUGGAUGGAAUCCCAGCUGCAAGGCGGCGGCGUUUUGAGAGCCCAUGCAAAGCACGGUAGCAGGACCAGGAACCAGAAGAGGACCCACCCUCCUAGCCCUGCUGGGGUGCCGCCACGGACACAGGUUGCUCCAUGCCUUCCCGAAUGAGGAAGGUCCACAGCUUUGGGUUGGUCAGGGCCAAGGCAGGGGAUAAAAGACGUGGGAAGUUCAAUAAGCAGGAAGCAGUCAGCCUAAAGGAACACAUGGAAUGAGAGCAACUCCUACUCCAGAUAUCCUCAGAUGUCCACGCUCAGAUAUCCACAGUGGCUUCUUAACCUGCCCAAAGAAAGCCACUCACACAGUUUAAAACUAAGUCAGAUUUUUAUUUUUUUUUCCAUAGACCACAUCAUUUAAUAAUAAAAAAAAUAAAAAUAAAAAUUGAACAAAAGGAAAAGGUGGAUAUAAAGUGGAACCUGUGGGAAAGAGGCAAGGGCUGUAAGUACCCAGGGAGGUGGUAAGCAGG